RNAcentral lists this ribosomal RNA (497 nucleotides) under uncultured bacterium. RNAcentral describes it as "partial 16S ribosomal RNA". It matches the Rfam family "Bacterial small subunit ribosomal RNA", at positions 28 to 507 of the family's 1533-position model. The record is from RNAcentral.
GAUGAACGCUGGCGGCGUGCCUAAUACAUGCAAGUCGAGCGAACGGACGAGAAGCUUGCUUCUCUGAUGUUAGCGGCGGACGGGUGAGUAACACGUGGAUAAUCUACCUAUAAGACUGGGAUAACUUCGGGAAACCGGAGCUAAUACCGGAUAAUAUUUUGAACCGCAUGGUUCAAAAGUGAAAGACGGUCUUUCUGUCACUUAUAGAUGUAUCCUCGCUGCAUUAGCUAGUUGGUAAGUUAACGGCUUACCAAGGCAACGAUGCAUAGCCGACCUGAGUGGGUGAUCGGCCACACUGGAACUGAGACACGGUCCAGACUCCUACGGGAGGCAGCAGUAGGGAAUCUUCCGCAAUGGGCGAAAGCCUGACGGAGCAACGCCGCGUGAGUGAUGAAGGUCUUCGGAUCGUAAAACUCUGUUAUUAGGGAAGAACAUAUGUGUAAGUAACUGUGCACAUCUUGACGGUACCUAAUCAGAAAGCCACGGCUAACUACGUG